UCCUUCUAACUCCAGCGUAGUCACCUCCCAUUUCCACUUGUUCCUUAUUGCAGGACAUGUUUUUUUAAGAUGAUAAUGAUACACACACAGUAGCAACUGGUAAUACCUAACUGUUUCUCACGGGGAAAAAACAGAAUUUCAUGGGGUGUUCUGCUAAGCCAAGAUAUGCUAUGCCUUAAAACUCAAACUUGUCUCCUUGCAGGUUCAAAUUUGGAACUAUCGAUGAUGUCACAAAGCACAUCACAGCAUCAUCAUGACAUCACUUGGAAUUUCUGCACAAUGCUCACAUGUAGAGAUGUGGCCAUGGCAACAAUGAAGAUGCAUUCUGGCCAGAUCUGGGCAGUAAGUACACGGCCUGGUCUUCAGUGAGCACUCUGAUCCAGAAGAACCUGGUGAUGAAGACCCACAACCCUGCAAGGUAUUCUCUGACAGAAGAGGGUCUGGCUUUAGGGGAGCGCCUCAAGUCUUUAGAGGGAACUAAAGGUCCAGAAGGAGACAGAGAGGAGGCCAGGAGUGAAGGAAACAAGCAGGAGGAGGGAGAGGAGGGUGGCCCGGGGUUUGUGGACCUCACUGUUAGUGAUGAUGACGAAGAGGAGAAGGAAGAGGAGAGAAUACAACCUACAGAGAGGCCGAUCUCCUCUGCCCAGCCGAGGGUUGUCGUUCCUGGGAUGUUCUUUUCAGGAAAACCCCAAAAUGUACCGUCAACGAGCAGAAACCCAAAUUCAUGGAGUCUCCUUCCCGGCUCCUACGAGAUCAUCGUGUGUGUGUGUGUGUGUGU
Molecule: long non-coding RNA, 778 nt
Organism: Trematomus bernacchii (emerald rockcod)
Lineage: Eukaryota; Metazoa; Chordata; Actinopteri; Perciformes; Nototheniidae
Exons: 4
Source: RefSeq, a predicted model, not a curated record